CACCCAACAGCUAGCCCACCCACCCCACCAACAAAUCAACAUAACUACCACCACCAAAACCCAAUACUAAACCCAACUAAACCAUUAUUCCCCCCCAGUACGGGCGACGGAAAAGGGACUAGGAGCCACAAAAAAGUACCGCAAGGGAACGCUGAAAAAGAAACUGAAACAACCCAGUAAAGCAUAAAGAAGCAGAGCUUAAACCUUGUACCUUUUGCAUCAUGGCCUAGCCAGAAACACCUAAGCAAAAGGAAUUUUAGUUUAAAACCCCGAAACUAGGUGAGCUACUCCAAGACAGCCUAUUGUUAGGGCACACCCAUCUCUGUGGCAAAAGAGUGGGAAGAGCUUUGAGUAGAGGUGACAAGCCUACCGAACCUAGUCAUAGCUGGUUGCUUAAGAAUUGAAUAAAAGUUCAGCCCUUCACCUUUUUAAACCUAACCUGAGCACAUCUCCCCCAGGCCACAAGAAAACUGAAGGAGUUAGUCAAGGGGGGUACAGCCCCCUUGAUAAAAGACACAACUUUAACCAGCAGGUGAAAGAUUAAAAGACACCCAAGGCAACCUAUUCAAGUGGGCUUAAAAGCAGCCACCUCCCCAGAAAGCGUUAAAGCUCAAAUACCUGUCUCCCCAUAUCCCUACAACCACAUCUUAAACCUCUAAACCUAUUAAGCCUCUCUAUGCAAACAUAGAAGAGAACAUGCUAGUAUGAGUAAUAAGAGGGGCCUGCCCCUCUCCCAGCACCAGUGUACAUCAGAACGAACCCUCGCCGAAAAUUAACGCCCCCAACACAAGAGGGAAUUGAACAAACACCCACGACCCAGAAGCCCGCUCAACAACUACCAAGCGUUACCCCGACACAGGAGUGCCCCAGGAAAGACUAAAAGAAAAAGAAGGAACUCGGCAAACAUCAGCCUCGCCUGUUUACCAAAAACAUCGCCUCUUGACUAACAAAUUAUAAGAGGUCCCGCCUGCCCUGUGACUAUAAGUUUAACGGCCGCGGUAUUCUGACCGUGCGAAGGUAGCGCAAUCACUCGUCUUUUAAAUGAAGACCUGUAUGAAAGGCACAACGAGGGCUAAUCUGUCUCCUUUCUCCAGUCAAUGAAAUUGAUCCGCCCGUGCAGAAGCGGGCAUGAUAACAUAAGACGAGAAGACCCUAUGGAGCUUUAGACGCAGAACAGGCACACCAAGACAGUCCUGCAAAAUGACCUAAAACUAAAGUAUCAACCCCUGUUCCCCUGUCUUCGGUUGGGGCGACCGCGGGGAAACAAAAACCCCCCACGUGGAAUGAGAACAUCCACCCUAAAACUAGGGCUACACCCCUAAUAAACAGAAAAUCUGACCAAUAACUGACCCGGUUUUAUUUAACCGAUCAACGGACCCAGUUACCCUAGGGAUAACAGCGCAAUCCUCUUUUAGAGCCCAUAUCGACAAGAGGGUUUACGACCUCGAUGUUGGAUCAGGACAUCCUAAUGGUGCAGCCGCUAUUAAGGGUUC
This 1493-nucleotide ribosomal RNA is filed under the name Erotelis smaragdus (emerald sleeper). RNAcentral describes it as "partial 16S ribosomal RNA". It matches the Rfam family "Bacterial large subunit ribosomal RNA", at positions 53 to 2574 of the family's 2925-position model. The record is from RNAcentral. Lineage: Eukaryota; Metazoa; Chordata; Actinopteri; Gobiiformes; Eleotridae.